Long non-coding RNA from Panthera uncia (snow leopard), 959 nucleotides. RefSeq lists it as uncharacterized. Lineage: Eukaryota; Metazoa; Chordata; Mammalia; Carnivora; Felidae. The record is from RefSeq and is a predicted model, not a curated record. The transcript is spliced from 2 exons.
CGAUUUGCAAAAUUCCAAGGAAAGGAGAGGAUGCGGUGGAAGCGUUUGCGGUUGGAACUAUCCUAAUGGAAACCACAGAAAAGCAUAAAAAAAGCAGUAUCAGGCCAAAAGUGACAUUCUCUGGAGGGCCCAAAGACCAGGAAUCGGAUACAAGAAGAAAGAUGGUUAUCAACCCUGCUCUCCUGAGCUGACGGGAGUGGGGCAGCUUGGACUGGGCGUAGUGAGUGAAUUGUUUUCACUGGCGGCUCCCCUAGGCAGCGGCUGUAUUUUUCCACUGCGUGGAUUACACUGGAGAUUAAUUCUGGUUCAGCCAGUGCCUGUUAAGCAGAAAGUGAUGGCCUGAGCCCACGGGGGAAGUCAGCCACGGCAUCUGCCAUGGACUUGAAGUUGCUGGUACGUUUCCACGAAAGGAGAUAUUUGCAAUAGUAAAUUUCUAGGGUUUGAAAAAAACACUGGGUACGGUUUGUUUUGAAAGGCACGAACACACUUCCAAUGGGAAGCCCAGCCAAGGAAAUGAGCUUGCCAGCUCAGGGUAAGUUCUUAGAACUUAGAACACAAGGAUCUUUCAGGCCAUGAGAGUCAAGCGGCAGAUGGUAAACCAGUGGGUAAAGGUCAAGGACACUGAUUGUGUGUCAAGGCCUUAAAUGACCUGGCUGGACCAGGACCACUGUUCAGGGCACUACUAAAGUCAACAGAGAGGUUUCCUUUUCUGCUUCCUACAUCACUUCAUCCAGAGACAAGUAGCAGGGACAGGAGCUAAGGGACCAGUGACCCAAGAGCUUGACUGUUAUUUAACUCAACAUCAUAGACUGGAUUAGGAGUUGGUAGGCAAUUACACCAUCUCUGUUUUGGCCUGAUUGACAAGAGCAAAAAUCCAGGAUCUUACCCUAGAGCAAGUCAGAUCUGAUUGCCUAUCUUCAACAAAAUUAUGAAAUCAGACUAGCAAGUGACCUGAAGGA